AAGGUGUUAGCUCAACCGGAAGAGCGCUUGCUUGGCAGGCAAGAGGUUGCGGGUUCGAAUCCCUGCGCACCUU
This 73-nucleotide transfer RNA is filed under the name Flavobacterium chilense. Its description in RNAcentral is "tRNA_Ala_GGC". It matches the Rfam family "tRNA". From Rfam's summary of the family: Transfer RNA (tRNA) molecules are approximately 80 nucleotides in length. Their secondary structure includes four short double-helical elements and three loops (D, anti-codon, and T loops). The record is from RNAcentral. Lineage: Bacteria; Pseudomonadati; Bacteroidota; Flavobacteriia; Flavobacteriales; Flavobacteriaceae.